UACGGGGGGGGCAAGCGUUGUUCGGAAUUACUGGGCGUAAAGGGCGCGUAGGCGGCUUUUCAAGUCGGGCGUGAAAUCUCCGGGCUUAACCCGGGAGGGUCGUUCGAUACUGUUGAGCUAGAGUGUGGAAGAGGCAACUAGAAUUCCGUGUGUAGCGGUGAAAUGCGUAGAUAUACGGAGGAAUACCUGAGGCGAAGGCGGGUUGCUGGGCCAACACUGACGCUGAGGCGCGAAAGCCAGGGGAGCAAACGGG
Molecule: ribosomal RNA, 253 nt
Filed under: uncultured bacterium
Lineage: Bacteria
Description: partial 16S ribosomal RNA
Rfam family: Bacterial small subunit ribosomal RNA
Source: RNAcentral